This 212-nucleotide ribosomal RNA is filed under the name Salmonella enterica subsp. enterica serovar Typhimurium. RNAcentral describes it as "partial 23S ribosomal RNA". It matches the Rfam family "Bacterial large subunit ribosomal RNA", at positions 1111 to 1321 of the family's 2925-position model. Lineage: Bacteria; Pseudomonadati; Pseudomonadota; Gammaproteobacteria; Enterobacterales; Enterobacteriaceae. The record is from RNAcentral.
AGCAGCCAUCAUUUAAAGAAAGCGUAAUAGCUCACUGGUCGAGUCGGCCUGCGCGGAAGAUGUAACGGGGCUAAACCAUGCACCGAAGCUGCGGCAGCGACGCUGAUGCGUUGUUGGGUAGGGGAGCGUUCUGUAAGCCUGUGAAGGUGUGUCGUGAGGCAUGCUGGAGGUAUCAGAAGUGCGAAUGCUGACAUAAGUAACGAUAAAGCGGG